This 89-nucleotide transfer RNA is filed under the name Phycisphaerae bacterium. Its description in RNAcentral is "tRNA-Ser". It matches the Rfam family "tRNA". From Rfam's summary of the family: Transfer RNA (tRNA) molecules are approximately 80 nucleotides in length. Their secondary structure includes four short double-helical elements and three loops (D, anti-codon, and T loops). The record is from RNAcentral. Lineage: Bacteria; Pseudomonadati; Planctomycetota; Phycisphaerae.
GGAGAGGUGUCCGAGUGGCUGAAGGAGACGGUUUCGAAAACCGUUGUGCCCUUAAGUGGGUACCGGGGGUUCGAAUCCCCCCCUCUCCG